This 253-nucleotide ribosomal RNA is filed under the name uncultured bacterium. RNAcentral describes it as "partial 16S ribosomal RNA". It matches the Rfam family "Bacterial small subunit ribosomal RNA", at positions 524 to 776 of the family's 1533-position model. The record is from RNAcentral.
UACGGGGGGGGCUAGCGUUGUUCGGAAUUACUGGGCGUAAAGGGCGCGUAGGCGGUCUGCUAAGUUGGAUAUGAAAACUCUGGGCUUAACCCAGAGCCUGCAUUCAAUACUGACAGGCUAGAGUUCUGGAGGGGAUAGCGGAAUUCCUGGUGUAGCGGUGAAAUGCGUAGAUAUCAGGAGGAACACCGGUGGCGAAGGCGGCUAUCUGGACAGAGUCUGACGCUGAGGCGCGAAAGCUAGGGGAGCAAACAGG